GGCAAAUCCAAGGCCUUCAUUUGAAUAGACAUUCUCCUAUCAUAACUAAUGCUUUAUUUGCAGAUGAUACUCUUCUUUUUGGGAGGGCUAGCCGUCAUGAGGCUUCAAAACUUAAAGAGAUCAUAUCUAGUUACACAGAAGCUACUGGACAAAGGGUAAACUUCCUAAAAUCAAGCAUUUAUUUCAGCAAGAAAACUCCUGUGGUUUUAAGGCAUGAUAUCUUAUCUUCACUCAAUAUGCAAGAAAUAAAGCUUGAUGAUAAAUAUCUUGGGCUUCCUGCCCUUUGGGGUAGAUCAAAAGUGCAAGCUUUAAAAUUUAUUAAAGACAAAGUAAUGUCCAAGACUCAAUCUUGGAAGCAGAAAUUGCUUUCUCAAGCUGGUAGGGAAACUCUUAUCAAAUCUGUCUUGUGUGCUAGUCCUAAUUAUUCUAUGGCUAUUCUCAAAUUCCCUCUGAGCUUUUGUAGGCAACUUAAUAGCUUGGUUUCUAAUUUUUUGUGGGGAAGAAAGGAUAAGGAGAAAAAGUUACAAUGGAUAAGUUGGAAGGAUGCUACGAACAGAAAAGAUAAAGGAGGCAUGGGGUUUAAGGACUUCAAGCUCUUUAAUCUGGCUUGUUUAGCAAAACAGUGCUGGAGAUUAAUUCAAAAUCCUUCUUCCUUAUGGGCCCGAAUGCUUAAAGGUCUCUAUUUCCCUCAUAAUUCUUUCUGGCAAGCCCCUUCCUCCAAAAAGCAAAGCUCUUGGGUUUGGAAAAGCCUUCUGAAAGGAAUAAAUAUGUUAAAGGAAGGCAUCAAACACAAUGUAGGCGAUGGAAGGGAUACUCUCAUUUGGUAUGAUCUUUGGGUCCCUCAUGUGCAAGAUUUCAAAGUCCAACGGCCAUCUCACUGUCCUUUGGAUAUUAAUCAUGUCUCUGAUUUAAUUGAUCAUGACAAUCUGCAAUGGAAGAAUGAAUUAGUGGUUCAUUAUUUGAAGAAGAGGUGGCUAGAGCCAUCAAAUCAAUUCCAGUAGCUCCCUUGGGAUGUAAAGAUUCAGUGAUUUGGCAUUAUGACAGGUUUGGAGCAUACUCAGUUCGAUCAGGCUAUCGCUUUUUACUAGACAAGGCCAAUCAAUCUAUUAUUCAUAGCCCCAGCAACUCACUUUCCAUUCCACAGCAUAUUUGGAAGAAGUUAUGGAAUCUCCCUCUGCAGCCUAAGAUAAAAGUUUUUGUGUGGAAAGCUUUGCUAAAUGCUUUGCCAGUGAAAGGAAAUUUGGCUCACAGAGGUAUCCCUAUUAAUUCCACUUGUCCUAUAUGCAAUGAAGAAACUAAAUCUAUAGAGCAUAUAAUGUUUUGGUGUAGUCAUGCAAGGGCCACGUGGUUUUCUAGCUGUUGUAACUAUAAGCCAGAUGUAAUUGGUUUUAAUUCUUUCACUCAAUGGUGGAUUGCUAUCACUCAAGCCUUUAGUAUUGAUGAUGAUUCUCUAUCUCUCAUAGCUAUUGUUUGUUGGAUAAUUCGGAAGCAGAGAAAUAUGGCAGUUUUUUAGCAAAUUCAGCCCAACCCAAUUUCAGCUGUUCAUCAGAUAAAAAUUUGUCAAUUGGACUAGCAGAUUCUUAUUGCCAAUUCCCAAAACUCUACAAAUUUGUAGCACUACAUGGGUAAUUCCCAUUCUCGCAAUGUGUGGUGUCCGCCUACUUUUGGGGUUUUGAAGUUUAAUAGUGAUGUUUCAUGGAAGGACAAUUUCGAUUAUGCAACAGCAGGAGUUGUUGUCAGGAAUCACAGUGGUCGUAUCGUUGAUGGUGUGGCCUACAAAAUUCUAGCAUCCUCUCCUCUGGUGGGUGAAGCUCUAGCCUUCUUAAAGCAGUUAAUCUUGCUAUUUCUAUGAAUGCAAAAUCUGUUAUCAUGGAAACAGAUUCAUAAAUCCUUCAUUUUGCUAUUAUUCAGCAAAACAAUUUGAUCCCUUGGGAAAUUCAGGCUGCGGUCUAUGCUAUUAUUGCAAGAAGCAGUUUCUUUAAUCAUGUAUCCUUCUCUCUAAUUAAGAGAUCAGCUAAUAGAGCAGCAGAUUGUACUGCCAAAGCUUUUAGAUAAGGCAAGCUCCAUAGUUCUUGGACUGUAAAUCCUCCUGAGUUUUUGAGCUGUAUCUUGUUUUUUGAUGCUCAUUCUUGGGACUUGUAAAGCAAAUUUUGCAGUUCAAAAAAU
This 2166-nucleotide unclassified non-coding RNA is filed under the name Hevea brasiliensis (rubber tree). The record is from RNAcentral. Lineage: Eukaryota; Viridiplantae; Streptophyta; Magnoliopsida; Malpighiales; Euphorbiaceae.